UGAGGAAUAUUGGCCAAUGGGCGGGAGCCUGAACCAGCCAAGCCGCGUGAGGGAGGAAGGCCCUAUGGGUCGUAAACCUCUUUUGUCAGGGAACAAAAGCGAGUAUGUAUACUAGUCUGAGUGUACCUGAAGAAAAAGCAUCGGCUAACUCCGUGCCAGCAGCCGCGGUAAUACGGAGGAUGCGAGCGUUAUCCGGAUUUAUUGGGUUUAAAGGGUGCGUAGGCGGCGGUGCAAGUCAGCGGUAAAAGCCCGGGGCUCAACCCCGGCGAGCCGUUGAAACUGCAGUGCUAGAGAAGGCGAGAGGUACGCGGAAUGCGCAGUGUAGCGGUGAAAAUGCUUAGAUAUUGCGCAGAACUCCGAUUGCGAAGGCAGCGUACUGGCGCCUGACUGACGCUGAGGCACGAAAGCGUGGGGAUCGAACAGGAUUAGAUACC
This 434-nucleotide ribosomal RNA is filed under the name uncultured bacterium. RNAcentral describes it as "bacterial SSU rRNA". It matches the Rfam family "Bacterial small subunit ribosomal RNA", at positions 355 to 786 of the family's 1533-position model. The record is from RNAcentral.